RNAcentral lists this ribosomal RNA (316 nucleotides) under uncultured bacterium. RNAcentral describes it as "bacterial SSU rRNA". It matches the Rfam family "Bacterial small subunit ribosomal RNA", at positions 63 to 407 of the family's 1533-position model. The record is from RNAcentral.
CGAACGAGACCUUCGGGUCUAGUGGCGCACGGGUGCGUAACGCGUGGGAAUCUGCCCUUAGGUACGGAAUAACUCAGAGAAAUUUGUGCUAAUACCGUAUGAUGUCGAAAGACCAAAGAUUUAUCGCCUAAGGAUGAGCCCGCGUAAGAUUAGCUAGUUGGUGGGGUAAAGGCUCACCAAGGCGACGAUCCUUAGCUGGUCUGAGAGGAUGAUCAGCCACACUGGGACUGAGACACGGCCCAGACUCCUACGGGAGGCAGCAGUGGGGAAUAUUGGACAAUGGGCGAAAGCCUGAUCCAGCAAUGCCGCGUUCGUU